RNAcentral lists this ribosomal RNA (467 nucleotides) under uncultured bacterium. RNAcentral describes it as "partial 16S ribosomal RNA". It matches the Rfam family "Bacterial small subunit ribosomal RNA", at positions 28 to 507 of the family's 1533-position model. The record is from RNAcentral.
GACGAACGCUGGCGGCGUGCUUAACACAUGCAAGUCGAACGGAAAGGCCCUGCUUUUGUGGGGUGCUCGAGUGGCGAACGGGUGAGUAACACGUGAGUAACCUGCCCCUGACUUUGGGAUAACUUCAGGAAACUGGGGCUAAUACCGGAUAGGAGCUCCUGCUGCAUGGUGGGGGUUGGAAAGUUUCGGCGGUUGGGGAUGGACUCGCGGCUUAUCAGCUUGUUGGUGGGGUAGUGGCUUACCAAGGCUUUGACGGGUAGCCGGCCUGAGAGGGUGACCGGCCACAUUGGACUGAGAUACGGCCCAGACUCCUACGGGAGGCAGCAGUGGGGAAUAUUGCACAAUGGGCGGAAGCCUGAUGCAGCAACGCCGCGUGCGGGAUGACGGCCUUCGGGUUGUAAACCGCUUUCGCCUGUGACGAAGCGUGAGUGACGGUAAUGGGUAAAGAAGCACCGGCUAACUACGUG